UACGUAGGGGGCAAGCGUUGUCCGGAUUUAUUGGGCGUAAAGGGCGCGUAGGCGGCGGGGUAAGUCGGGUGUGAAAUCUCAGGGCUCAACCCUGAAACUGCACUUGAUACUGCUCUGCUUGAGGACUGGAGAGGAGACUGGAAUUCACGGUGUAGCAGUGAAAUGCGUAGAUAUCGUGAGGAAGACCAGUGGCGAAGGCGGGUUUCUGGACAGUUCCUGACGCUGAGGCGCGAAGGCCAGGGGAGCAAACGGG
RNAcentral lists this ribosomal RNA (253 nucleotides) under uncultured bacterium. RNAcentral's name for it is "partial 16S ribosomal RNA". It matches the Rfam family "Bacterial small subunit ribosomal RNA", at positions 524 to 776 of the family's 1533-position model. The record is from RNAcentral.